ACUUCAUCUGGACCAAGUUCGUCCUGGCCCCUUGCAUGUUCCAUUAAGCCACACACAGCAAGUGUUUCAGCUCCUUCUUUCCCAGACUUCCCUACCUCCUACCUAACUCCAACCUUCAACUAGAUGUUGUUAUUUGACAGGGUCUCAGAAUCCUCUGGCUUACACAGCUUCUUCUGGGUAACUCAUGGCAUUUCAGCUUUUCAUAUGAUUCCUCUAUGCCCUAUUCCUCCCCCAAAUCAUGAUGGUUGUAUGAUGGCCCUCAUAUGAUCGCAUGGUGGUAGGGCCAAAGACCUCAGAUCCAUGCUCUGCCCCAGAGCUGAAACUUCAGCUUUGUGAUAUCUUGCCUGGUCCGGUCCCUGGGUUCUUCAUGAGACCGAGGAAUAGUAUGUGUGGUUGGUGACCUUCUAAUGAGUUCUCUUGGCAGGGUCAGAGCCUGGGAACCCCUUGGCUCACCUACUCCCACCCAGGUUCUUGCUGGUGGUGUGACUCCCUCUGAGGCUUGGACAGUUCUAUGCAGUUACUCCUCUGCUCCAGGGCCAGUUGCCCCUGUCCAGCACCGUUCCAUGUGCUUUCAUGGGUAACAAAGGAACUCUGGAACUUUUUGCACUAUAUUUAGGAGCCUAAGAGAGGCUGGAAGGUGUUGAAGAGGCUUGAAGUUCAGGCCUUCUCUGCUUCACUGCCAUUUUCACUCUGGUUUCUCCAAAAAAAGAUGCAAGUACAGGGAAUUGGAGAUACCAAAAAAAAUCCCAUCAACCUGGAUAGUGGUGCCUCUAGAUGGAAAUAAGCCCCAUGAGACUCCCAGAAGGAGGCCUGUGCCUCUCCCAAUGCUCAUCUGAUGGCUCCUUCCAUCUCAGACACAAGAGACAAGAAAUGAAGGCCAAUGAGUAGCUGCUUCAAUCCUACACACAGCCCAAAGAAAAGCAUACAUUUGUCUACAAACAGGGCAGUGCAAGGUAACUAACCUUUGACCGAAAUUAUAAUAAUUCAGUAUGGCAAUCUAUAUUUUUGAUCCAUUAAGAUGUGGAAGUCUAUUAUUACUUAAUAAUAAAUGAAUUUUAAGAACAUGGAACCAUGGGGAUAAAAGUCUAGAAUUUUGUGGAGCUGUAUCCCAGGAUAGCAUUGCAGCCCACCAAUGUGGGAUUCCAGAGAUUCACUGCUCUCUGAUUUGCUCAUGUGCUCAGUUAGUAAACAUGGGUUGAACAUUUACUGUGUCCCAGGCCCCUGUGCUGGGCACAUGCUGGGAGCUCAAUGCACUGGGGAGACAAGGGUCGCUUAAGUACUUUUAAGGUAGCUAUCACAGAAAGUGAUGCUGAUAUCCUUGCCAGACAAAGGAGCCAGUAAUGAAAUCCGUCCAGGCUAGUGGGGAUGCAGGUGAGAAGAAAAUGUGAAAAAAGUUUUGUAGCUGAGGAGAUGCUUUUAUCCAUUCAUUCACUUACUGAGUGAAUAUUUAUUGAGAAGUGAUCAUGUGCCAUGUAUUGCCCUGAGCACUGGAGAUGUGGCCUUGAACAAAAUCAACAUGGCCCUGCCUUCAUGUGGCUUAGGGUGUAGUGGAGCUGUGUCUUAAAAUGUCAGAAUGUGUCUUCUAUGUGGACGAAGUAGGAAAGGGCAUUCUACAUGGUGGAAAAGUGCAUGAACAGAGCAUAAAAUGGCCUGAGCUAACUGGACUGUGGGAGCUCUUUAGCAUGGCUAGAGCUUCAAGUCUCAGAGAGAAGGAUGGGUGCUAAGACCACCUAUAGGGUGAAAGUCAGACCAUGAGAGCUUGGUAGGCCCAGUUAAGAAAUUCAGGCUUUACUUAAGGCCAUGGGAAUCCACUGAAAAGAUUUAAGGUGGAAAAUGACAUAGUUAAGUAGUAGAUUAUUCUGAAAGCUACUUGAAAUAUAAUAAGGACAGCUAAAUAGUUUUUGUAUCCUCACUAAGUGCCAAGUACAAUUCUAAAGUGAUUUAUAUGUACUCAGUUAUUUCUUCCUCAUAAUAAUCAAGGUAGAUGUUACCAUUAUUUCAUACCUGUAUGAAAACUGAGGCACAGAUUAUGCAAUUUGUCCAAGGACAUCAGAGAGUAAAAAAUGGUGUCAGACAGUCUAACUCUAGGUCCUGAGACCUUAACAUUUAUGAGAAUAAAUUGGGAUGGGGAAGGUAGUGGUAAGACUAGAACUAGGGAGAUCAGUUCUGAUGCUAUUGCAAUAUUCAGAUAAGAUAUGAUGGUGGCCCAGACUGGGGUGUUGCAGUGGUGUGGCAGGCCAGGUCUCACUAAUACAGGCCUCCAUAACAACUGUUUCAGCAUUGGCUGAAUGGUUAAGUUAAAUAUUAGAAAUUGAUAGAGCCAGUGCCCUUAUACAAAGGCUGGAAUGUAACAAAAGUCCAGCAAGAGUUUUGCCUAGGCCUUUCCUGGGCUUUGAAGCAUGACAAGAUAAUGAAGGAAUUCUUAUCAGGACCCGUUUAGGAUUAAACAAGUUUUAUUGGGAAUCUGAAGAAACUCCCCAGACCUCCACAAACAAGUUUAUUGGGGGUCUGAAGGAACUCCACAAACCUCCAUGAUUUAGCAGGAGACAAGAUAAGGGUAAUCACCGCAGCACCUGGGCCCAUUUAGAUUAAGUAAAUUUACUGAGGCUCCAGAGGAAGGUCUUCAGGACUCAGCUCUUAGUUAUAGAUUAAAAGAAGUUAAUCACAUAUGUCUUUAGAUGAGUGCACACUUACACAUAGACAUAUAGCUUAGAAGGUAUAUAAUCUCUGAAAAAACUUUGUAAUUUUGAGUUUGGUGAUAUUCUCCAGGCUUUCUUCCUGUAACCAGUUACAGAAAUAAAAGCUCUCUUCCUCCCCA
This is a long non-coding RNA of Homo sapiens (human), 2818 nucleotides long. RefSeq lists it as uncharacterized. The record is from RefSeq and is a predicted model, not a curated record. The transcript has 2 exons. NCBI's taxonomy places the organism in Eukaryota, Metazoa, Chordata, Mammalia, Primates, Hominidae.